This 950-nucleotide ribosomal RNA is filed under the name Leucobacter aridicollis. RNAcentral describes it as "bacterial SSU rRNA". It matches the Rfam family "Bacterial small subunit ribosomal RNA", at positions 510 to 1456 of the family's 1533-position model. The record is from RNAcentral. Lineage: Bacteria; Bacillati; Actinomycetota; Actinomycetes; Micrococcales; Microbacteriaceae.
AGCAGCCGCGGUAAUACGUAGGGUGCAAGCGUUGUCCGGAAUUAUUGGGCGUAAAGAGCUCGUAGGCGGCUUGUCGCGUCUGCUGUGAAAUCCCGGGGCUCAACCCCGGGCCUGCAGUGGGUACGGGCAAGCUAGAGUGCGGUAGGGGAGAUUGGAAUUCCUGGUGUAGCGGUGGAAUGCGCAGAUAUCAGGAGGAACACCGAUGGCGAAGGCAGAUCUCUGGGCCGCUACUGACGCUGAGGAGCGAAAGCAUGGGGAGCGAACAGGAUUAGAUACCCUGGUAGUCCAUGCCGUAAACGUUGGGAACUAGAUGUAGGGCCUGUUCCACGGGUUCUGUGUCGUAGCUAACGCAUUAAGUUCCCCGCCUGGGGAGUACGGCCGCAAGGCUAAAACUCAAAGGAAUUGACGGGGGCCCGCACAAGCGGCGGAGCAUGCGGAUUAAUUCGAUGCAACGCGAAGAACCUUACCAAGGCUUGACAUAGCCGAGAACGCUGUAGAGAUACAGAACUCUUUGGACACUCGGUUACAGGUGGUGCAUGGUUGUCGUCAGCUCGUGUCGUGAGAUGUUCGGUUAAGUCCGGCAACGAGCGCAACCCUCGUCCUAUGUUGCCAGCACGUUAUGGUGGGAACUCAUGGGAUACUGCCGUGGUCAACACGGAGGAAGGUGGGGAUGACGUCAAAUCAUCAUGCCCCUUAUGUCUUGGGCUUCACGCAUGCUACAAUGGCCGAUACAAAGGGCUGCGAUACCGCGAGGUGGAGCGAAUCCCAAAAAGUCGGUCUCAGUUCGGAUUGGGGUCUGCAACUCGACCCCAUGAAGUCGGAGUCGCUAGUAAUCGCAGAUCAGCAACGCUGCGGUGAAUACGUUCCCGGGCCUUGUACACACCGCCCGUCAAGUCAUGAAAGUCGGUAACACCCGAAGCCGGUGGCCUAACCCUUGUGGAGGGAGCCGU